Molecule: long non-coding RNA, 2446 nt
Organism: Globicephala melas (long-finned pilot whale)
Lineage: Eukaryota; Metazoa; Chordata; Mammalia; Artiodactyla; Delphinidae
Source: RefSeq, a predicted model, not a curated record
GUCACGUGGGAGGCCCUUUAAGUUUCCAUAGAGAGGCCUCUCCGGUGUCACAUGAUGGACAUGAUAUAAUGAAACAACAUUGUGGAGAGGAAAGCAUUAGGGGAGCCCACGGCUACAAAAACAAGUGAGUGAGAAGAGGUGGGAGGAAGAGAAACUACGCCACCUCCCCUGCAGCCGAGCUGCACGCAGCAGCAGCCCGCGGGAAGUGGGCGACGCCGGGGGGGAAGGGAGACCCGGUCCCCAGCCCCGGCCCGGGGACCCUGCUGCCCACCGCAAAGAGAACAACUUUUAGCCGGCAGCCUCGGCCAGCACUGCACCUGUCUCCGGAGCCUCCAUCGCUCCUCGUGAUGAUCAAAGGGGCAUUCUAGAAGAAUAUGUUCUACAAAUAUACAUGCGCAUCAUUUCCCCCCUUGCGUCUCGCUCCGGAGGAAGGAAAGAGAAAGGGAUUUAAGCAGCAGCGUGUGUUCAGCCCCAAGGGUGAAAAGAGUUGGGAUAUUUUAUCAUCUGGAGUUUCUCUGCCUCGCUGAUGAUCUAAGCUCAAACCUGCCAGUUUAUGGGAGAUGAUAGAAAGUACCCUCUAACAUCUGAGUUGCAGAAACAUGUGCCUCUAAGAACUCAGGAGGACCUACUUUGUGGGAGCAAAGGUAGUGAGUCAUACCUGCAAGCUUGGAAACGAGAGUUCACUUGUGCCUCUUCAUCCAGUCGGGACAUUUCCUCGGCAACCAUUUAUGCAGCAAUUAAAAGAUGAGGAGUUGAGAGGAGAAAAUGGAAAAAACGGAGGUACUUUUAAUGGAACAGAAUAAACCACUGAACAGGGAAGGAAGAAAGGAUGGAGUUUGAACUGAUUUGCCGGGAAUCAUGUUCAGAAUGGAUCCAGGAUAUUGAGGUGUAAAAGAGCAGGAAACAGCCUUGAGUCUUGGGAGACUUCUGGGCUUUGCGCUUGGCACUGACUCCUCCACAGAAGCAAGGGGUGCAUCUGGCUGUUAGAAGAAUUAAUGGGCAUCCAGUGCCUUGAUUUUCCCACUGAGAAAAAUGAGGAGGCUGCGAUAUACCUGUGGACAGGAUCAGUAGCUUCACUUCUCAGCUCAGAACUUGCCAUGUCUCUUUCCGGCUCGGGAAGUAUGAUGCUCCGCACAGACAGGCAUCUACGUGCGAGAAAGUUAAUGGCGCAGAAUGCUGCUGACUGCAUGGUUCUCGUCUUAAUACAUUUUCCAACCUUGAACCUGAGAAUGCCAGAGGCUCAAGUCUCUGAACGCUCGUCUGAGCCGUUAUCUGCUGGUGGCCUGGUUCCUGACCUAACAAGUGGGUGUCCCAGGCGUGCGUGUGGUAAUAGCAGCAGUGGUGCCACGUGGCGCCCAGAGGUCGCCUUGGUCUGCCCUGGAGAUUCCUGGUCCUUGGUGAAGCUUCUGAGUUGAACUGUGAACUUGGGGCAUCCUGAGAAGCACAGGCAUUUUGGAGUUCCACAGCAAACCUGGAUGUUAAGUGUAAAAACAGCUUAUAAAGUGAAAGCAGGGGCCUUGAGGAAGGGAACCCUCAUCUCGAUCCGGACCUGCUUACUGUGCUGGAAAACAAAGUAAGUUUUGUUUGUUUUUAGUCAGUCUCUCCUACAUGUUUUUCUUGCUAACAUUAUUAAACACUCAGUAUCUGGCAAAUGCCAAGGUUUUUUUUUUUUUUUCCUUUUCAUCGGAAAGUAGGAGAUGAAGUUUGUUAAAUAGCUGAUUGCUUCUUUUAUCUUUUCUGUCUCUCUUCCUGUAUCUAGCUGCUGGCUGGCUUGUUAAGAGGUAAAAAGAGACUGAAAUUUAUCAUCAGUGAGAAAACAAAAAGUUCUCUUUUUUUCUCUUUUUAAAUGGUUCAAGAACUUUGCCAUUAAUUAAAUGACGGUGGGUGACACAGACAAGGCUUUUUAUGAGCUGCAGCCAGGAGCAUAUCUAGCAAAACAGCCCCAGUUCACUGCCCUUAUUUCCAUUGGGAAGCAGGAAGGGUGCGUGUACAAGACAGGUAUGAGGACGGGGGUGUCUGCACGUGGGAACUGCAGACACUAGGUGGGAAUGGCUGUUGGAUAAAAGGCUGUAAUUUUAAAGCCUGUCAGGAAAUGGAAAGGACCUGAAGAAUACAAGUUAUUUAAUGAUGUUGGGAAAAUAAAUUAAUAUAAAAAUGGGAUAAAAUGUCUAAAGUCCUAACCGAAUUUUUCCUUCAUGUUAGAAAGUUUCGUGCCUUGUAGAUUUAUAGAAAAUAUGUUUAAUAACUUUAAAAAAUAAUAAUUAAGAGGCUUCAUCUCCUACACAGAAGAUUCUGUGACAUCAGCCUGAUUCUGACACUUGGCCCAUCUUACAUUUUUGUUUGUUUGUUUUUUAUGCUGAUCCUGUCUCCAAAGAUGUUACAUGGCUUGAUAAAUUUUUAAUACAAAGUUCUGUGGUUUUGAAAAUGCAAAACGAAUAGAAAUGCA